This is a non-coding RNA of Camellia sinensis, 1114 nucleotides long. NCBI's taxonomy places the organism in Eukaryota, Viridiplantae, Streptophyta, Magnoliopsida, Ericales, Theaceae. The record is from RefSeq and is a predicted model, not a curated record.
UCUUAAUAACAAUCAAUUUGCUCCCAAUAUAAUAAGGCCCCUCAUCAAGAAUGGCCUUUAAAGCUUCUUCAUUUUUCAUUUUGAAUACAAAGUAGUCAUUAUUUAAGGUUACAACCUCUUCAAGAUUUUCCUUCCACAACUUGUAAGCCCAAGUCUUCACUUGAAAGAAAGACAAUUUUCUAUCAAUAAAAUAACCCACAAGAGCAUGUUCCCAUUGCUUAAACCCAAUUCUAGAGAUUUCCAAUGGAAUUUGAAGUUAAUCGGUCUCAUAACCCACCGAGUAUCUUUUGAGACUUUUAACUUCUUUUUUCUUAGCAGUCUCAAAUUUAAAUAAACUGCUCAAGUGCGUAGAGAUAACAUUAUGGGAAGAAGACUUAUCCAACCCAUUGGAACUAUGGCUUUGAACCAUUUAUGCUUCAAUCUAAUCGAAUGAGUCCAUAGCACCCGCCAACCCCUCUACACAUGACAUCUGGACCUAAUCAUGCCCUUUUGUUUCAUUGCAUUCUUGCACAUUCGUAGCCUCUGUUGCUGUCUCAAUAUCUCCCAUUGGUUCAAGUAUGGUUGUUUUGCCUAGGUCUUGUUCAUAAACACUAGAAUCUACCAUGGCAUUGUAAACUUCAGGGGAAUCACAAUAAGUCUCUUCAUGUUCAAACUCAAGUUCAGAUUGGGAAAAACUUGAGGAGGGGAAUAACAAUGGAAAGAUUUGAAAUCUGUAACAUGAUAGGUUGCAGCUCCCUCUCUGGCAAUCUAUACUAUUUAAACUCAAUCCCAAACUGGACGAUCUGCUUGAGAUGCUCAGAGACCGAGGCUACGUUGUGUCCUCAUCCAAUGUCGAACUUCCGUUGACACAGAACUUCUAUGUAGCUUUUGGUUGAGGAAGUCAGAAAGCGAAACGUGCGAAACCCUCUGUCUCAAGGUGAUGUCUCUUUUUCUUGAUCGUUGGGUUCGAUCACUGCUGUUGCCAUUGUUGGAGUUAAAACGAUGAUGUAACCCUGAAAUGGACGAAUCUGUGGCAGAGAACGAGUCUCCACCAUUGCUAUCUAACCUCCCUGUGAAUCGUGACUUCCUCUUCGCCUUCUCUAAUGAACAUAUACUCAUUCCUAUUCCACUAGUU